RNAcentral lists this transfer RNA (76 nucleotides) under Thomasclavelia ramosa. Its description in RNAcentral is "Erysipelatoclostridium ramosum tRNA-Ala(tgc)". It matches the Rfam family "tRNA". From Rfam's summary of the family: Transfer RNA (tRNA) molecules are approximately 80 nucleotides in length. Their secondary structure includes four short double-helical elements and three loops (D, anti-codon, and T loops). Lineage: Bacteria; Bacillati; Bacillota; Erysipelotrichia; Erysipelotrichales; Coprobacillaceae. The record is from RNAcentral. RNAcentral also lists the same sequence under 19 other names.
GGGGCCUUAGCUCAGCUGGGAGAGCACCUGCCUUGCACGCAGGGGGUCAGCGGUUCGAUCCCGCUAGGCUCCACCA